AACUAGCCCUGAUUGCAGUGGAAAUCCUUUUUUAUCCGCCGUGGCGGAUAAAAAAGAUUGUAACGAAAAGCAGGUUCCCGG
RNAcentral lists this small RNA (81 nucleotides) under Halpernia humi. Its description in RNAcentral is "Chryseobacterium humi Flavo-1 RNA". It matches the Rfam family "Flavo-1 RNA". The record is from RNAcentral. Lineage: Bacteria; Pseudomonadati; Bacteroidota; Flavobacteriia; Flavobacteriales; Weeksellaceae.